UAACGACUUCUCAACUGUCUCAACCAUAGACUCGGCGAAAUUGCACUACGAGUAAAGAUGCUCGUUACGCGCGGCAGGACGAAAAGACCCCGGGACCUUCACUAUAGCUUGGUAUUGUUGUUCGGUACGGUUUGUGUAGGAUAGGUGGGAGACUGUGAAACCUCGACGCUAGUUGAGGUGGAGUCGUUGUUGAAAUACCACUCUGAUCGUAUUGGACACCUAACGUCGAACCGUAUAUCCGGUUCACGGACAGUGCCUGGUGGGUAGUUUAACUGGGGCGGUUGCCUCCUAAAAUGUAACGGAGGCGCCCAAAGGUUCCCUCAACCUGGACGGCAAUCAGGUGUUGAGUGUAAAUGCACAAGGGAGCUUGACUGCGAGACUUACAAGUCAAGCAGGGACGAAAGUCGGGAUUAGUGAUCCGGCACCUCUGAGUGGAAGGGGUGUCGCUCAACGGAUAAAAGGUACCCCGGGGAUAACAGGCUGAUCUUC
This 489-nucleotide ribosomal RNA is filed under the name Mycobacterium gordonae. Its description in RNAcentral is "bacterial LSU rRNA". It matches the Rfam family "Bacterial large subunit ribosomal RNA", at positions 2002 to 2490 of the family's 2925-position model. The record is from RNAcentral. Lineage: Bacteria; Bacillati; Actinomycetota; Actinomycetes; Mycobacteriales; Mycobacteriaceae.